Non-coding RNA from Sturnus vulgaris (Common starling), 99 nucleotides. NCBI's taxonomy places the organism in Eukaryota, Metazoa, Chordata, Aves, Passeriformes, Sturnidae. The record is from RefSeq and is a predicted model, not a curated record.
UGUCAAUAUGCUUUUGCUUUUGUGAUUGGUCAAAAAACUUUCAAAAUGCAUUGUAGCAUCACGUUCUCUGGCUGGUGCCAUCUUCCCAAUGUCUCAUCC